GAUGAACGCUGGCGGCGUGCCUAAUACAUGCAAGUAGAACGCUGAAGCUUGGUGCUUGCACCGAGCGGAUGAGUUGCGAACGGGUGAGUAACGCGUAGGUAACCUGCCUGGUAGCGGGGGAUAACUAUUGGAAACGAUAGCUAAUACCGCAUGACAACAGUUAUUGCAUGAUAACUGUUUAAAAGGGGCAAUCGCUCCACUACCAGAUGGACCUGCGUUGUAUUAGCUAGUUGGUGAGGUAACGGCUCACCAAGGCGACGAUACAUAGCCGACCUGAGAGGGUGAUCGGCCACACUGGGACUGAGACACGGCCCAGACUCCUACGGGAGGCAGCAGUAGGGAAUCUUCGGCAAUGGACGGAAGUCUGACCGAGCAACGCCGCGUGAGUGAAGAAGGUUUUCGGAUCGUAAAGCUCUGUUGUAAGAGAAGAACGAGUGUGAGAGUGGAAAGUUCACACUGUGACGGUAUCUUACCAGAAAGGGACGGCUAACUACGUGCCAGCAGCCGCGGUAAUACGUAGGUCCCGAGCGUUAUCCGGAUUUAUUGGGCGUAAAGCGAGCGCAGGCGGUUAGAUAAGUCUGAAGUUAAAGGCUGUGGCUUAACCAUAGUACGCUUUGGAAACUGUUUAACUUGAGUGCAAGAGGGGAGAGUGGAAUUCCAUGUGUAGCGGUGAAAUGCGUAGAUAUAUGGAGGAACACCGGUGGCGAAAGCGGCUCUCUGGCUUGUAACUGACGCUGAGGCUCGAAAGCGUGGGGAGCAAACAGG
This 765-nucleotide ribosomal RNA is filed under the name uncultured Streptococcus sp. RNAcentral describes it as "bacterial SSU rRNA". It matches the Rfam family "Bacterial small subunit ribosomal RNA", at positions 28 to 776 of the family's 1533-position model. The record is from RNAcentral. Lineage: Bacteria; Bacillati; Bacillota; Bacilli; Lactobacillales; Streptococcaceae.